AUUUAUAUAGCUUAUAUUAGAGCGAUUUACUGAAGAUAAAGAGGACUA
RNAcentral lists this transfer RNA (48 nucleotides) under Habronattus oregonensis. Its description in RNAcentral is "tRNA-Phe". Lineage: Eukaryota; Metazoa; Arthropoda; Arachnida; Araneae; Salticidae. The record is from RNAcentral.